UACGUAGGGGGCAAGCGUUGUCCGGAUUUAUUGGGCGUAAAGAGCGUGUAGGCGGUUUGGUAGGUCCGCUGUGAAAACUCGAGGCUCAACCUCGAGACGCCGGUGGAAACCAUCAGACUAGAGUCCGGAAGAGGAGAGUGGAAUUCCUGGUGUAGCGGUGAAAUGCGCAGAUAUCAGGAAGAACACCCGUGGCUAAGGCGGCUCUCUAGUACGGUACUGACGCUGAGACGCGAAAGCGUGGGGGGCGAACAGG
RNAcentral lists this ribosomal RNA (253 nucleotides) under uncultured bacterium. RNAcentral describes it as "partial 16S ribosomal RNA". It matches the Rfam family "Bacterial small subunit ribosomal RNA", at positions 524 to 776 of the family's 1533-position model. The record is from RNAcentral.